UUUUGAAACAUCAUCUGUCGUACUAUUAUCGUUGAUGAUCUCCCAGAUAUUAAAACUCCAUUAAGUUUAGAAAAGGAAGUAGAAGACUUUAGAAAUUGAGUUCUAAGAUGGUCGGAAAAGGUUCCGCCACCGUAAAGUCACCAAUAAAAAGUAAGAAGUGUGAUAAACAAGUGUCCGCUGCUAAUCACAUUGUUUAAGAGAUUCUACCCAACUAAUUUAAUUAUGUGGGAGAACGUGCCUAGUGGAAUAAAAUAAUAGGCCAAAAGGGUAACCGAAAUACUUCUGCGAACAAUUACCCAUCCCUCAUCCAAUUUGAGCAUCUCUCCCUUAUCCAGAAAGAAUGUCAUCGGAAGGAUGAGUUCCCCAUUGAACCUGCUCGAGCAAAUGAGUGAAUCACUAGUUAUCGAGAGGGUUUUUUCAUCUGUCUACAUGUAUCCGUUCAUUCUACGAUUCAAUCUUGCAAUUAACCCCGUGAUAUAAGCUUUUUACAGACACUAAAAUGUUUGUUUAGCCCAAAUAGGUGCAACUGUUUAGAGGGUCAUAGCGUGCCUUCAUUCUUUAUCGAACUUGGCUUAAGUAGAUUUUACUCUUUUCCACCUUCUUUAUCUUUAUUCUCCCAAACUUUUUCAUGCUAGAGUGUCCACUCUUAAAAAUUGCAAAAGCGAGUUCUUUUCAACCUCAAGGAUGACUAAGAUCGCGGGUAGUAUGAAAGGUUCAUGGUCGUACCUACCUAAGAUCUGAUUCAGCUUAUUGAUCAUUCUUUCCGUGAAAAUGGAACUUCUCCCUAAGUUUUGUUAUUACUUGUGAAAUAACCCUUUUUUAUUUAAUAUUAUUAAUGCUUUUCUUAUAUUGUAGCGACUAUGUAGAUAAUUGGGAAAGUCUCGGAUUUUGAUAGUUAGGGGGAAAUGACAUUGCCUUCCACUUCUAUGGAUCAAAUAACCUGAAAGCAUAUCUCGAAAAUAUUUGGAUAGAAAGCUAUGAAGCAUGGCCCAAGGUAAAUGAAUCUCAAGAAGAGAUUUUGAAGCUCGCCACUUUGAAACGGAAAAGCAAAGAUUCUUCAACUUUUGCUCUGGCAAUGACCAUAUUAGCUCUCUGGAGAAGAAAGCAAAAUCUGGCAAAGAGAAGGCCAAAAUAUUAGGGGAUGACCAGAGCAGCCCCCGAGUUAGCCCCCUAAAUACUCAACUUUGUCUCUGAGAUGAGCCCGAGGAUGAUCCUAUCUUCGUGGAGGAUAGUGAAGAAAAAAACUGUGGGGUGCGUGUAGAGAAACCAACCCCUGCUCCCACUUUGGAGUCGGUCGAGGCUCUAUGUGUUGCAAGUUUUGAUGGUCCAUAGAUUGGGAUCAUCCUUUCGAGAUCCAACACUCUGUGCGUCCCCCUUAUUCUUCUGCUUCAGAACAUCUGCCUAACAUUUUUACUCGUGAAGGUAGCGGUCCCUCUACGGAGGCAAAGAUGCAUCGGGUUGUAACUGAGAUUCUUGAGGAUGUUAAUCUCUAACACCGUCCCAAUAAAGUUUUCCCUCCGUUAAAGAGGUUGAUUGUCCCUUGCGAACAAGGAAAAUUCAAUGUCCAUUCUACUGCCAGUUUGGUCAAUGCCAUGCUCCACUCCACUCUCCGGGUGUAUUUUCCUUUUCUUUCUUCCUUUUUAUUUUGUUUACAUUUUAUAUUUCGAUAAUUAAUAUGACUUUGAUUUUGCAGUGCAAUUUGAACGGCACAGAGGUGUUGAAGGGAAUUACAUACUACGAGGAGACCAUUGCGGAGCUAGCGGUAGACCAUAGAUAUUGGAAGUCUCGGCGAAGGGGCUUCAGGAGGAGAAGGAGGCUUUAGAGUAACAGGCUAAGCUGGUUACUGCAGAACUGAAGUAUACUAUAGCAGAAAUGAAGCAAUUGGAGGCCAUGUUCAUUAAUCAAAAUUCAAAUCUACCGAGGAGAUUCAGAGCCUUAAAAAUUUACUUGCAUAGAAAAAUAUAUACUCGAGUCAACUAGUGCACGAGUAUACCCAGGCUAAGGUAGAUCUAUGUGCAUCGAGCGAUAAAUUGAGGUUUCUCAUUGCGUCGGUUGACCCAUUGACGGCAUCUCUUAAUGCUUUCGAAGCUGAGAAGAUAGAUCUCUGUGCUAAGAGCAACUAGGUGGUUGCAAAGUACAAGGCCUUCAAAUUCCAAUUCGAUAUUUAUCUGAAUUGGAUGUUCUUGCAAACCCGUGAAACGUUGAAGGAGGUUCAUGUUGAAGCUUAGAUCUGGAGGCAAAAUCUGAGAAGGCAAAGGAAGUAGUAGAGAUGACCCAGCAGGCUAUGAGUUCUUCUUCCCCCGAAGAAGAAUCCUCGACAGGAUGAGACUGUUGAAGCCGAGCGUACUAAAUUGCACACUACAUCACUAACUUCUCAAGUUGAUCCUUGUCGAAUGUUCAUGUUGUCUUAGCUUUUGGAUUUCACUUACAUUAUAUUUAGUUUUUGGGUUUGUCUUGUUAACAUCUAAGCUUUUUGCCUAAUAUUUGGAACAUUUUGCAUUUUUGUUUC
Long non-coding RNA from Nicotiana tabacum (common tobacco), 2509 nucleotides. RefSeq lists it as uncharacterized. The record is from RefSeq and is a predicted model, not a curated record. NCBI's taxonomy places the organism in Eukaryota, Viridiplantae, Streptophyta, Magnoliopsida, Solanales, Solanaceae.